Molecule: transfer RNA, 72 nt
Filed under: Salmo salar (Atlantic salmon)
Lineage: Eukaryota; Metazoa; Chordata; Actinopteri; Salmoniformes; Salmonidae
Rfam family: tRNA
About the family: Transfer RNA (tRNA) molecules are approximately 80 nucleotides in length. Their secondary structure includes four short double-helical elements and three loops (D, anti-codon, and T loops). Further hydrogen bonds mediate the characteristic L-shaped molecular structure. tRNAs have two regions of fundamental functional importance: the anti-codon, which is responsible for specific mRNA codon recognition, and the 3' end, to which the tRNAs corresponding amino acid is attached (by aminoacyl-tRNA synthetases). tRNAs cope with the degeneracy of the genetic code in two manners: having more than one tRNA (with a specific anti-codon) for a particular amino acid; and 'wobble' base-pairing, i.e. permitting non-standard base-pairing at the 3rd anti-codon position.
Source: Rfam by way of RNAcentral
UCCCGUCUGGCUCAGUUGGUAGAGCAUGGUGUUUGCAACGCCAGGGUUGUGGGUUCGAUUCCCACGGGGGAC